Molecule: small nucleolar RNA, 152 nt
Filed under: Nannospalax galili (Upper Galilee mountains blind mole rat)
Lineage: Eukaryota; Metazoa; Chordata; Mammalia; Rodentia; Spalacidae
Description: Small nucleolar RNA SNORA4 (ENSNGAG00000002008.1)
Rfam family: Small nucleolar RNA SNORA4 (bases 30-152)
About the family: ACA4 is a member of the H/ACA class of snoRNA that guide the sites of modification of uridines to pseudouridines.
Source: RNAcentral
AUUUCUAAGGUUAUGGUUGCAUAGGGGUACAGUUAAAAAAUUCAGUAGGGGGCUUUUUACCAACUUGGGCUAUUUGGCAGAGUGAUUAAGACCACACUCCACAGUGGGCUAUAUCACCUAGUAUGGUUCAUUACUAUUGUGUGGCCUAUGCU